GUCUACAGUCAUGCUACCCUGAACAAGCCUGAUCCCAUCUGAUCUCAGAAGCUAAGCAGGAUCAGGCUUGGUUAGUACUUGGAUGGGAGACCACCUAGGAAGACCAGAAACUGUGGGUG
This 119-nucleotide ribosomal RNA is filed under the name Pteropus alecto (black flying fox). Lineage: Eukaryota; Metazoa; Chordata; Mammalia; Chiroptera; Pteropodidae. The record is from RNAcentral.